AUGGUUAUGGCUCAGUGGUAGAGCACUCACCUAGCAUGUGCGACAUCCUGGGUUCAAUCCUCAGAACCACA
Molecule: transfer RNA, 71 nt
Filed under: Ictidomys tridecemlineatus (thirteen-lined ground squirrel)
Lineage: Eukaryota; Metazoa; Chordata; Mammalia; Rodentia; Sciuridae
Description: Spermophilus tridecemlineatus (thirteen-lined ground squirrel) tRNA
Rfam family: tRNA
About the family: Transfer RNA (tRNA) molecules are approximately 80 nucleotides in length. Their secondary structure includes four short double-helical elements and three loops (D, anti-codon, and T loops). Further hydrogen bonds mediate the characteristic L-shaped molecular structure. tRNAs have two regions of fundamental functional importance: the anti-codon, which is responsible for specific mRNA codon recognition, and the 3' end, to which the tRNAs corresponding amino acid is attached (by aminoacyl-tRNA synthetases). tRNAs cope with the degeneracy of the genetic code in two manners: having more than one tRNA (with a specific anti-codon) for a particular amino acid; and 'wobble' base-pairing, i.e. permitting non-standard base-pairing at the 3rd anti-codon position.
Source: Rfam by way of RNAcentral